CCUACGGGUGGCAGCAGUGAGGAAUAUUGGUCAAUGGGCGCGAGCCUGAACCAGCCAAGUCGCGUGAGGGAAGACGGUCCUAUGGAUUGUAAACCUCUUUUGUCGGGGAGCAAAAGACGCCACGCGUGGCGUUCCGAGAGUACCCGAUGAAAACGGAUCGGCUAACUCCGUGCCAGCAGCCGCGGUAAUACGGAGGAGGCGAGCGUUAUCCGGAUUUAUUGGGUUUAAAGGGUGCGCAGGCGGAAUAUCAAGUCAGCGGUAAAAUUGAGGGGCUCAAACACUUCGAGCCGUUGAAACUGGUUGUCUUGAGUGAGCGAGAAGUAUGCGGAAUGCGUGGUGUAGCGGUGAAAUGCAGAGAUAUCACGCAGAACUCCGAUUGCGAAGGCAGCAUACCGGCGCUCAACUGACGCUCAUGCACGAAAGUGUGGGUAUCGAACAGGAUUAGAUACCCUUGUAGUC
RNAcentral lists this ribosomal RNA (459 nucleotides) under uncultured bacterium. RNAcentral's name for it is "partial 16S ribosomal RNA". It matches the Rfam family "Bacterial small subunit ribosomal RNA", at positions 338 to 795 of the family's 1533-position model. The record is from RNAcentral.